This is a non-coding RNA of Morus notabilis, 107 nucleotides long. The record is from Rfam. Lineage: Eukaryota; Viridiplantae; Streptophyta; Magnoliopsida; Rosales; Moraceae.
UAUCCAUGGUGGGGACACAGAUUUAACAAAUCUUUAAAACGCUCCCAAGCUUGAUAAAGAGUUUUGUUUUUCUUCUAAGCGAAAUUUGAGAUUUGUUGUUUCAAAUU